GCGUUUGCUUUGCCAGCACAUAUACUAAAAUUGGAAUGAACAGAGAAGAUCAUCAUGGCCCAUGCACAUGGAUGACAUGCAAAUGAAGUGUACCAUAUUUUU
This 102-nucleotide small nuclear RNA is filed under the name Dasypus novemcinctus (nine-banded armadillo). The record is from RNAcentral. Lineage: Eukaryota; Metazoa; Chordata; Mammalia; Cingulata; Dasypodidae.